GAAAGUUUUGCAUUUGCAUUACUGAUGUGCGGGCCGCCCCCUAACCCGCGGUUCGGGUUGGGGCAGGUCAAAGAAUUUUCGCUUCACUGCGGGGCGGGUUGGUGUGGUUUACUAUUCUGAAAUAUCUAGUU
Long non-coding RNA from Melanotaenia boesemani (Boeseman's rainbowfish), 131 nucleotides. RefSeq lists it as uncharacterized. The transcript is spliced from 4 exons. The record is from RefSeq and is a predicted model, not a curated record. NCBI's taxonomy places the organism in Eukaryota, Metazoa, Chordata, Actinopteri, Atheriniformes, Melanotaeniidae.